RNAcentral lists this long non-coding RNA (313 nucleotides) under Mus pahari (shrew mouse). RNAcentral describes it as "predicted gene, 44287 (MGP_PahariEiJ_G0002950.1)". Lineage: Eukaryota; Metazoa; Chordata; Mammalia; Rodentia; Muridae. The record is from RNAcentral.
CACUCUUCCCUCUGUCCCCUAGGUGCUGGGUUCAAAGGCUUGUGCCACUAUCCCCAUCUUUAGGGACCCUUAAUACCACACUUGCUCUUUCCAGGGCUCCUGCCUCUCACUCAGCUCUAAAGGAGGAAACAAAAGUAUGGUACCCUGCCUGCCCCAUGCGCCCAAACUGGAGCACCCUUGUAAAUGAGCAACCCAGCUUGGCCACUACCAAGGGCUUCUCACCCAGCCAGGCGCGGUACUGCUCCAGAGGCACGCCUUCCAUAGGUUCCUCUUCAUUAUCCACCACCAUCAGGGGAGACGGUGAGCGAGGCCC